CUUCGGCCCGAGUUGUAAUUUGCAGAGGAUGUUUAUGGUGCGGUACCUUCCGAGUUCCCUGGAACGGGACGCCACAGAGGGUGAGAGCCCCGUCUGGUUGGAUACCAAACCUGUGUUAAACUCCUUCAACGAGUCGAGUAGUUUGGGAAUGCUGCUCUAAAUGGGAGGUAAAUCUCUUCUAAAGCUAAAUACCGGCCAGAGACCGAUAGCGCACAAGUAGAGUGAUCGAAAGAUGAAAAGCACCUUGAAAAGGGGGUUAAACAGUACGUGAAAUUGUUAAAAGGGAAGCGUUUAUGACCAGACUUGUGUCGUGUGGCUCAUCCGAGGUUCUCCCCGGUGCACUCCACACGGCUCAGGCCAACAUCGGUUCUCGUUGGGGGAUAAGAACAGCAGGAACGUGGCCCUCUUCGGAGGGUGUUAUAGCCUGCUGUACGAUACCCUGAUGGGGACCGAGGACCGCGCUUCGGCUAGGAUGUUGGCGUAAUGGUCAUUAGCGACCCGUCUUGAAACACGGACCAAGGAGUCGUCCAUUAGAGCGAGCGUUUGGGUGUAAAACCCGCACGCGUAAUGAAAGUGAAAUUAGGUGAGAGCUUCGGCGCAUCAUCGACCGAUCCUGAAGUUUACGGAUGGAUUUGAGUAAGAGUUUUAACGGACGGACCCGAAAGACAGUGAACUAUGCUUGAAUAGGGUGAAGCCAGAGGAAACUCUGGUGGAGGCUCGCAGCGGUUCUGACGUGCAAAUCGAUCGUCAAAUUUGAGCAUGGGGGCGAAAGACUAA
This 777-nucleotide ribosomal RNA is filed under the name Gnomoniopsis clavulata. RNAcentral describes it as "eukaryotic LSU rRNA". It matches the Rfam family "Eukaryotic large subunit ribosomal RNA", at positions 131 to 934 of the family's 3401-position model. Lineage: Eukaryota; Fungi; Ascomycota; Sordariomycetes; Diaporthales; Gnomoniaceae. The record is from RNAcentral.